ACGUAGGGCGCAAGCGUUGUCCGGAAUUAUUGGGCGUAAAGAGCUCGUAGGCGGCUUGUCACGUCGGGUGUGAAAGCCCGGGGCUUAACCCCGGGUCUGCAUUCGAUACGGGCUAGCUAGAGUGCAGAAGGGGCAAUCGGAAUUCUCGGUGUAGCGGUGAAAUGCGUAGAUAUCGAGAGGAACACCUGAGGUGAAGACGGGUUGCUGGGCUGACACUGACGCUGAUGCGCGAAAGCCAGGGUAGCAAACGGUA
Molecule: ribosomal RNA, 253 nt
Filed under: uncultured prokaryote
Description: partial 16S ribosomal RNA
Rfam family: Bacterial small subunit ribosomal RNA
Source: RNAcentral